RNAcentral lists this ribosomal RNA (253 nucleotides) under uncultured bacterium. Its description in RNAcentral is "partial 16S ribosomal RNA". It matches the Rfam family "Bacterial small subunit ribosomal RNA", at positions 524 to 776 of the family's 1533-position model. The record is from RNAcentral.
UACAGAGGUGGCAAGCGUUGUUCGGAAUUACUGGGCGUAAAGGGCGCGUAGGCGGCCUCGUAAGUCCCGUGUGAAAGCCCCCGGCUCAACUGGGGAAUUGCACGGGAAACUGCGGGGCUUGAGUUCGGGAGAGGGAAGCGGAAUUCCGGGUGUAGCGGUGAAAUGCGUAGAUAUCAGGAGGAACACCAAUUGCGAAGGCAGCUCGCUGGGACGUUACUGACGCUGAGACGCGAAAGCGUGGGGAGCAAACAGG